This 481-nucleotide ribosomal RNA is filed under the name uncultured bacterium. Its description in RNAcentral is "bacterial SSU rRNA". It matches the Rfam family "Bacterial small subunit ribosomal RNA", at positions 57 to 518 of the family's 1533-position model. The record is from RNAcentral.
GCAAGUCGAACGCGAAAGGGACUUCGGUCCUGAGUAAAGUGGCGCACGGGUGAGUAACGCGUAGAUAACCUGUCUUCAUGUCUGGAAUAAUACGCCGAAAGGGGUACUAAUACCGGAUAUUCUUGCUUUUCAUAAGUUAUGCAAGCAAAGGUGGCCUCUGCAUAUGCUACUGCAUGAAGAGGGGUCUGCGUACCAUUAGCUAGUAGGUGGGGUAAUGGCCUACCUAGGCGACGAUGGUUAGCGGGUCUGAGAGGAUGAUCCGCCACACUGGCACUGGAACACGGGCCAGACUCCUACGGAGGCAGCAGUGAGGAAUAUUGCGCAAUGGGGGAAACCCUGACGCAGCGACGCCGCGUGAGUGAAGGAAGGCCUUCGGGUCGUAAAGCUCUGUCAAGAGGAAAGAAGUGUACAAUGGCUAAUACCUGUUGUAUUUGACGGUACCUCUAAAGGAAGCACCGGCUAACUCCGUGCCAGCAGCCGC